GUCAUACACCUAGACACACACACACCUAGACACACACAUCUGUCAUACACCUAGACACACACACACGUAGACACACACAUCUGUCAUACACCUAGACACACACACACCUAGACACACACAUCUGUCAUACACCUAGACGUAGACACACACAUCUGUCAUACACCUAGACACACACACACGUAGACACACACAUCUGUCAUACACCUAGACACACACACACGUAGACACACACAUCUGUCAUACACCUAGACACACACACACGUAGACACACACAUCUGUCAUACACCUAGACACACACACACCUAGACACACACACACGUAGACACACACAUCUGUCAUACACCUAGACGUAGACACACACAUCUGUCAUACACCUAGACACACACACACGUAGACACACACAUCUGUCAUACACCUAGACACACACCAAGACAGCGUUUAGAGGUUUGGGUCAGUAACCGAAAGGUCUCUAGUUUAAAUCCCCAAGUCGACAAGUUGGUGGGGGGGGGGGUCUGUCGACGGCACUUAACCCCGAUUGCUUUCAGUCGUCGUUCGUACUGGCUGACCCUAGCCGUGACCCCACUCUCCGAGGGCGUCUCAGGGAGAGUUGAGAUAUGCAAAGAAACACAUUUCCAAUUCACACACGUGAAACACUGGUACGUGUGACAGGACUGAUAUAAAGGAUUAUUAGCUGAAGAUACUCUGCACAUAUACAUACCGUUGCUGUCUGAUGGAAACCUUGUAACUCCAUUUUAUCCCAAACAUUUGUAUUGAAUGCAGUAACUCCCCUCCAAUAUAGACUGAAUAUUUCCUGACUCUACGACUAAGAACAUAUGUUUAUAAUGGCUCCUGAAGUUUGGUAAUUAUAUGUUUGUUAAAAAUAUAACUUUUUUUUUUUCUUUUUUUUCCCCAUUUCUUGAAGUUUCUGUUUUGGAGAUGGGCCUACAGGGUUCUCAUCAGAAAGCUAUGAUACACACGUGUGUGUGUGUGUGUGUGUGUGUGUGUGUGCGUGUAUAUAUACACACACACACAUCUGAGAGUCACAAACACCCACAGCUGGAGUGUAACACACACUUAUCCAAACACGCUUGUCAUACACCUGACCAAACACGCGUGUACACACACGAACACACACACGCACACACACACGCAGGCCCAACUCAUACAUUGUCACACAGCCAUACAUAUACAGGUAUCAUACACAGUGGAUACAGCACACUAGGUUGGGAGUCAUAGGGGAAACCAAUAUCUCUUACUGCAUGUGUUUAUGGAUGUGGGUACGUAAACCCGCAAGGCACUGUGGCCCCUCAUGAUGAGUUCUGUUGUUUUUAUUUUGGCCCCCCACCCCGUUAAAGUUGCCCGUCCUUGGUAUCGACUGACAGGAGACUGUGCUAGAACGUACUGUAGCUGUGCCAUAGUCUAAUAGUGGCAAACCACGUCUGCUCAUGUCAUGCUGUUUGACAUCCACACACACACUUAGUCACUUUUUUUUUAUAUAUAUAUAUUUUUUAAGCACUUUACAUUUGUCAAUCCUUUACUUGAUUUAGUCUUUAUGCAGUAUGUCACGAACCUGAAACGUCAGGAUGCUUAUAAGCUGGUUAUAAUAAGUUGUGUUCGCCACUGAUUUCAGACCGUGACGGACACAUUGAACAGGGAGUUGUUCCGUAUGCUAGUUUGGAACAUCGCAGAAAACUUCUCUUGGGUUUUAAUCAGUCACGUCCCUGUCAGUCUCUGGUUUGGACGGCCAUUUUGAUCCAAUGACAACAGCACUUUGCCGUGAUCAUGUGACUUCACAGGGAUGCUGGCACUUACUGUACAAACAGACAUAAACAUACACUUCCAUGAAAAAGUGGAUCUCACAUGAUCCAUAUUCACCAUUUCUUUCUCUUACCUUUUCUCGCUCUCCUUCACCUUUUUAUCUCCAUCCCUCAAAUACCCCCUGACCCUCCCACCUAUGGGGCAUGGUGUAUGUGAACAGAGUGAUACGAGAGGGUGGCGUUAUAGAACUGGUACAGGAAGUUGAGGUCAAGUCAUAGAGGGAUUUAAGGGAAGAUGGGUGGAAGUGAGGAUCUGAGGGUUACUGAAUAAGAACUGUGGGGUUUACAGAAUGUUCAAAGGAGAGUUCUAGAACGGUGGAGGUUGUCUGGGGGUAAACAUACUAUACACUGCAGUAUGCCAUACAGACUUUAGUACAGAACAGUACAGGUGUAGUACACUACAGUAUGCCAUACAGACUUUAGUACAGAACAGUACAGGUGUAGUACACUACAGUAUGCCAUACAGACUUUAGUACAGAACAGUACAGGUGUAGUACACUACAGUAUGCCAUACAGACUUUAGUUCAGAACAGUACAGGUGUAGUACACUACAGUAUGCCAUACAGACUUUAGUACAGAACAGUACAGGUGUAGUACACUACAGUAUGCCAUACAGACUUUAGUACAGAACAGUACAGGUGUAGUACACUACAGUAUGCCAUACAGACUUUAGUUCAGAACAGUACAGGUGUAGUACACUACAGUAUGCCAUACAGACUUUAGUUCAGAACAGUACAGGUGUAGUACACUACAGUAUGCCAUACAGACUUUAGUUCAGAACAGUACAGGUGUAGUACACUACAGUAUGCCAUACAGACUUUAGUACAGAACAGUACAGGUGUAGUACACUACAGUAUGCCAUACAGACUUUAGUUCAGAACAGUACAGGUGUAGUACACUACAGUAUGCCAUACAGACUUUAGUUCAGAACAGUACAGGUGUAGUACACUACAGUAUGCCAUACAGACUUUAGUUCAGAACAGUACAGGUGUAGUACACUACAGUAUGCCAUACAGACUUUAGUUCAGAACAGUACAGGUGUAGUACACUACAGUAUGCCAUACAGACUUUAGUUCAGAACAGUACAGGUGUAGUACACUACAGUAUGCCAUACAGACUGUAGUUCAGAACAGUACAGGUGUAGUACACUACAGUAUGCCGUACAGACUUUAGUACAGAACAGUACAGGUGUAGUACACUACAGUAUGCCAUACAGACUUUAGUUCAGAACAGUACAGGUGUAGUACACUACAGUAUGCCAUACAGACUUUAGUACAGAACAGUACAGGUAUAGUACACUACAGUAUGCCAUACAGACUUUAGUUCAGAACAGUACAGGUGUAGUUCACUACAGUAUGCCAUACAGACUUUAGUACAGAACAGUACAGGUGU
Oncorhynchus tshawytscha (Chinook salmon) is the source of this 3209-nucleotide long non-coding RNA. RefSeq lists it as uncharacterized. The transcript is spliced from 2 exons. Lineage: Eukaryota; Metazoa; Chordata; Actinopteri; Salmoniformes; Salmonidae. The record is from RefSeq and is a predicted model, not a curated record.